Vigna angularis (adzuki bean) is the source of this 655-nucleotide long non-coding RNA. RefSeq lists it as uncharacterized. Lineage: Eukaryota; Viridiplantae; Streptophyta; Magnoliopsida; Fabales; Fabaceae. The record is from RefSeq and is a predicted model, not a curated record. The transcript is spliced from 5 exons.
ACGAUUUUUGGACAUUAAAUUAACUGGCGACAAUAACAUCACUACUAGAAAAAUGUAUCAGGUGAGCCAGAUGUUUCUAAUUGUUUUGUUUUGGAUGUUUAUAGUUUGUUAUUGAGAAGGAGAGAAGAGGAGAUUAUGGAAGAGGAGAGGUCAAGCUCGGGCAGCCUUGGGGGAGUUUGUUGAGGCUAUUGAAGAUUUGACUAAGGCUUUAGAGUUUGAAACCAACUCAGCAGAUAUUUUACAUGAGAGAGGGGAUAUUGAGUCCAUGCCUUUUAUUGAAGCACUGCUGGAACCGUAUUUAUGCAGUUUAAUUUGUUAAUUUCAUGGUUUUGAUGGUUUUCUUUUUUUCUUUUUUCUUUUAAAAUUGAAUUUCAUACUUUUGCAUUUUAAGUGGUUUAAGUUCAUGCAAUAUCCUAAACCUUUUCCUUUGAAUUUAUCCUAAAGUGUUUGGGUCUUCAAACUAAUUCCUUUAUCAUUUACAGUGUUGCAGCAGAGCCUAAUUUGAAGGAGUCGACUGCAAGGAAAAAAAUUUAUGACAGAUGUGAUGAAACUGUUAGAAUUCCAAUGGUGGGAAAAUACACAGGCCUUUCAGAUGCAUAUCUUUCUGUUCUGAAGGAUCCUGAGGCAUAUAAAGUUGCAUGGAAUAUUUUAAAGG